RNAcentral lists this ribosomal RNA (250 nucleotides) under uncultured bacterium. RNAcentral's name for it is "partial 16S ribosomal RNA". It matches the Rfam family "Bacterial small subunit ribosomal RNA", at positions 524 to 773 of the family's 1533-position model. The record is from RNAcentral.
AACGUAGGAGGCGAGCGUUAUCCGGAUUUACUGGGCGUAAAGCGCGUGCAGGCGGUCAUGCAAGUUGGGCGUGAAAUCUCCUGGCUUAACUGGGAGGGGUCGUUCAAGACUGUGUGACUUGAGUGCAGGAGAGGGAAGCGGAAUUCCUGGUGUAGCGGUAAUAUGCGCAGAUAUCAGGAGGAACAUCCGUGGCGAAGGCGGCUUCCUGGCCUGUAACUGACGCUCAGACGCGAAAGCUAGGGUAGCGAAC